GUCAUUUUUAAAGUACACAGUUAUGUAGUUAGAUGUGAGAACGGGAGUCCAGUUUUAGUCUGUGGGAAAGCAACGCUUUACAGAGAUUGUGUUUUUCCGACAAUCCCUCCCGAUGGCAGAAUAACGUGACUACACAAUCGUUCUAAUACGGGUUUGUUGCUCCUGUGCUUGGUGGCACUUAGCUGUGGUAAGGGGAAUCGCCGGUAGCUCACCUAUGCUUAUUAAAUACAGAAAAUGAAAUGAUUUACAGCUCACAGUUGGCACUACAUGGGUCCCCUAGCAAAACAGGUGGGAUAGCAUGUGUUGGGAGCUAAAUGAAACCAACCAUAAAACGUGAGAAGAAUAGGCCCUACUUGGGGGAGAGGUAUUUAAGAUGGGGUAUCUCAGAAGCCAGAGUUUGUGCUGGGAAAAGCUCCAUGUAUUAAAACAAUAAUGAAAGUGCAUAAAAAAUAGCAGUUCCUACUGUGUGCGCAGCACAGGUCAGUUUGACCCUCGUAACAGCCAUGAAAUAGGCCUUCGUUCUCAUUAUUCUCGUCUUCAGGUGGGACUUUCAGGGAAAUCAAAUUCAGCCAUGUUCAAAAUCAAAUUCAGCUGCUGUGUGUAUGAUAUUUAUGAUUGGCAGUGUUAUCAAAAGCUCUUUAUUUUAAAUCUUUUCUAUUAAAGGGUAAUCUAGGGACUUUGGUGGGACAAAGCCUCACAGGAGACUGACAUCUGGAGACAGAGUUAACUUCUUGGAUAAAUAGUUCACUUGAGAAAAAUAAAGGACUUGAAAUACUU
RNAcentral lists this long non-coding RNA (777 nucleotides) under Mus musculus (house mouse). RNAcentral describes it as "long non-coding RNA chr5:65349468-65350245". Lineage: Eukaryota; Metazoa; Chordata; Mammalia; Rodentia; Muridae. The record is from RNAcentral.